Non-coding RNA from Anolis sagrei ordinatus, 342 nucleotides. Lineage: Eukaryota; Metazoa; Chordata; Lepidosauria; Squamata; Anolidae. The record is from RefSeq and is a predicted model, not a curated record.
UGAAAGAACUGGUGAAGCAAAGAAGCAAGGUUCUUCUUUAGGUCAUCUGUCUGCAGACUGAAUAGUAAGAGCUGUUGCCAUGUCACCUGGAUUGGGCAGGGACAACAACCAUGAAUAAAUACUGGCAUAUAGGCAUAUUUCUGUGUACAGGUGUCAAAAAUUGGAAACAAGAGCUUCAUUGGAACUGAUAUAUAGCACUGGGACUGGAUGUGGGAAACUCAACUUCAGAUCAUAUGCAUCUCUAAUAACCAUUCCCAUUCACAUGUAUGGUACAAGGUUGUUCAAAAAUAAAAUGCUCUUAUAAUUUCAAAAUAAAAUAAACAAUGACAAUGUGUUGUCAAA